Molecule: ribosomal RNA, 398 nt
Filed under: uncultured bacterium
Lineage: Bacteria
Description: bacterial SSU rRNA
Rfam family: Bacterial small subunit ribosomal RNA
Source: RNAcentral
GAUGAACGCUGGCGGCGUGCUUAACACAUGCAAGUCGAGCGAGCUGAAUUCAAAGAUUCCUUCGGGAUGAUUUGUUGGACCCUAGCGGUGGAUGGGUGAGUAACACGUGGGCAAUCUGCCCUAAAGACUGGGAUACCACUUGGAAACAGGUGCUAAUACCGGAUAACAACAUGGAUCGCAUGAUUCAAGUUUGAAAGGCGGCGUAAGCUGUCACUUUAGGAUGAGCCCGCGGCGCAUUAGCUAGUGGUGGGUAAAGCCUACCAGGCGAUGAUGCGUAGCCGAGUUGAGAGACUGAUCGGGCCACAUUGGGACUGAGACACGGGCCCAAACUCCUACGGGACGGCAGCAGUAGGGAAUCUUCCACAAUGGGACGCAAGUCUGAUGGAGCAACGCCGCGU